Molecule: transfer RNA, 73 nt
Filed under: Patescibacteria group bacterium
Lineage: Bacteria
Description: tRNA-Trp
Rfam family: tRNA
About the family: Transfer RNA (tRNA) molecules are approximately 80 nucleotides in length. Their secondary structure includes four short double-helical elements and three loops (D, anti-codon, and T loops).
Source: RNAcentral
GGGCGCGUAGCUCAGCUGGAAGAGCGUUGGUCUCCAAAACCAAAGGCCGCAGGUCCGAAUCCUGCCGCGCCUG